This 101-nucleotide unclassified non-coding RNA is filed under the name Trypanosomatidae sp. PNG04. RNAcentral's name for it is "trans-spliced leader SL". The record is from RNAcentral. Lineage: Eukaryota; Euglenozoa; Kinetoplastea; Trypanosomatida; Trypanosomatidae.
AACUAACGCUAUUCUAGAUACAGUUUCUGUACUUUAUUGGUAUGAGAAACUUCCAGAAUUAACUUUCUGACAAAUUUUGGACUGGAGGUCUUCGGGCCCCC